This 229-nucleotide ribosomal RNA is filed under the name uncultured bacterium. RNAcentral describes it as "partial 16S ribosomal RNA". It matches the Rfam family "Bacterial small subunit ribosomal RNA", at positions 568 to 796 of the family's 1533-position model. The record is from RNAcentral.
UGCGUAGGCGGGGCAAUAAGUCAGUGGUGAAAUCCUGCGGCUUAACCGUAGAACUGCCAUUGAUACUGUUGCCCUUGAGUAUAGUUGAGGUGGGCGGAAUAUGUAAUGUAGCGGUGAAAUGCAUAGAUAUUACAUAGAACACCAAUUGCGAAGGCAGCUCACUAAGCUAUCACUGACGCUGAGGCACGAAAGCGUGGGGAGCGAACAGGAUUAGAUACCCUGGUAGUCC